RNAcentral lists this ribosomal RNA (471 nucleotides) under uncultured bacterium. RNAcentral describes it as "bacterial SSU rRNA". It matches the Rfam family "Bacterial small subunit ribosomal RNA", at positions 32 to 518 of the family's 1533-position model. The record is from RNAcentral.
AACGCUGGCGGCGUGCUUAACACAUGCAAGUCGAGCGAUGAAGCUCCUUCGGGAGUGGAUUAGCGGCGGACGGGUGAGUAACACGUGGGCAACCUGCCUUGUAGAGAGGAAUAGCCAUUCGAAAGGAUGAUUAAUACCUCAUAAUAUUGUAGCUUCGCAUGAAGCAACAACCAAAGGAGCAAUCCACUACAAGAUGGGCCCCGCGGCGCAUUAGCUAGUUGGUGGGGUAACGGCUCACCAAGGCGACGAUGCGUAGCCGACCUGAGAGGGUGAUCGGCCACAUUGGGACUGAGACACGGCCCAGACUCCUACGGGAGGCAGCAGUGGGGAAUAUUGCACAAUGGGGGAAACCCUGAUGCAGCCAACGCCGCGUGAGUGAUGACGGUCUUCGGAUUGUAAAGCUCUGUCUUCAGGGACGAUAAUGACGGUACCUGAGGAGGAAGCCACGGCUAACUACGUGCCAGCCGCCGC